Long non-coding RNA from Leptopilina boulardi, 1006 nucleotides. RefSeq lists it as uncharacterized. The transcript has 3 exons. NCBI's taxonomy places the organism in Eukaryota, Metazoa, Arthropoda, Insecta, Hymenoptera, Figitidae. The record is from RefSeq and is a predicted model, not a curated record.
GUAGUGCGGGUUUGUUUAUGUAUUUUCGUUUUUUGAUUUAAUUAUUUUUCGUACUUUUCGCAAGUGUCAAUGUUUAUUUUGGAUUUUCUUCAAUGAAAUUUUGUUCGCUAAACAAUUGUCAAAAAGAUUCACCGGAAAAGAGCCUCUGUCACUUUCCAAAAACUGGAUUUUAAUUUCAUAUACAAUUGGAGGUUAGAACGACUUUUUGCGCUCCACACUAAAAAUUCAGGAAUUAUGUCAAAUAAAUGACAGUUGGAAAUUUUCAUCCAUAGAAAUAAGCUUAUUUCUUUAUGACAAAACAUGUAUCAACAGUAAUUGAAAAUACUUUAUCAAUGAAACGUUUAAAAAUUCUUUUUGCUCGAUACAAAAUGUUCUUUAUGGAAAAACAGUAAAGCAAACGCGGAUAAUGGAAUUUAAUUGCAUCUUUUUAUAAAAGAGGAAAAGGACGAAUUUCAAACGGAAAUUAUAAUUUUUUUCCUUACAAAGAAAUAAAGGAUUUAUAAAUGCUCUAAUUUGAACUUGACAAUAAAAAGAAGAGUUUAUUAUGUAUAUAAACUUUCCACAUAGCAUCGGAAAUUUUUUCAAUUGUGAAUUUAGAAAUAUAACAUUUUCAGGAAUGACAAAUUUAAAGUGGAAGCUUUAAUUUAAAAAUUUAAUUCAAGCAUAUGAGGCUAUAACAAUAUGGGUUUAUAUAUAUAUAUUUUAGCUCGAGCACUCAAGGCGAACCUCUUCCUCGUGACAAAAUGACAAAAGAAAAUAAAACCGUUAGGACGUACGGUGAUUGUUCGUGAUGUUGCUUGAAGGAAUAUUAUCGACAUAUAUGAUAUAUGACACGUAUAAGGAUAUUAUACAUAUACAUAAAUACUUUCAUUGCAUCGUCUAUUACGGUAGUUGGAAAGUUUAACCCCUCUUGUUGUAAAUAAUGGGUAUGUAUAGUAAAAUUAUGAAUUAUUUAGUAUAAUAAUUUAACUAAAAUUUAACAAAAUUUUUGUUACAUUUUAAAUUU